AGAGAGAGAGAGAGAGGAAGAAGACUAAGAAUAAUAAAUGUGUACAAAUGAGAGCGAAAUAAUAGAGGAGAAUACACUAGGGAUACAUGCUUUCUUAUUUGACGAAGUGUUGCGAACUACAGUUCAUAACUGGAAAUUCUUAGUAAAAGAUUAACUUAGACUUAAUAAAGUUAAGAAACACUAUACUAGGGCCAAAUGACAAAUGCCCCUGUUUUGCAGGAAAUUACUGAAAUAAAACCAUAAAUUAGAAGCAUUUUGCAUAGAAAUUGUCCAAGUAUACGGCACAACAAAAGCUUCAAGUUUCCCAAUAUUAAAAAAAGAGUUGGAAAAAGCUACCAAAAUUUUUUCCCAUUGCUGAAUCAAUUAAACUUACAAUCAACCCCAUAUGUGAAAAAAUGUUCCUGAAUAACU
RNAcentral lists this unclassified non-coding RNA (411 nucleotides) under Hevea brasiliensis (rubber tree). The record is from RNAcentral. Lineage: Eukaryota; Viridiplantae; Streptophyta; Magnoliopsida; Malpighiales; Euphorbiaceae.